Molecule: non-coding RNA, 253 nt
Filed under: uncultured bacterium
Lineage: Bacteria
Also listed under: 1 other name
Description: partial 16S ribosomal RNA
Rfam family: Bacterial small subunit ribosomal RNA
Source: RNAcentral
UACGUAGGGGGCUAGCGUUGUCCGGAAUCAUUGGGCGUAAAGAGCGUGUAGGCGGCUCGGUAAGUCCGCUCUGAAAGCCCGGGGCUCAACCCCGGGAGGCGGGCGGAUACUGUCGAGCUAGAGUCCGGAAGAGGCGAGUGGAAUUCCUGGUGUAGCGGUGAAAUGCGCAGAUAUCAGGAGGAACACCAAUAGCGAAGGCAGCUCGCUGGGACGGUACUGACGCUGAGACGCGAAAGCGUGGGGAGCAAACAGG